This 433-nucleotide ribosomal RNA is filed under the name uncultured bacterium. RNAcentral's name for it is "partial 16S ribosomal RNA". It matches the Rfam family "Bacterial small subunit ribosomal RNA", at positions 29 to 507 of the family's 1533-position model. The record is from RNAcentral.
AACGAACGCUGGCGGCAUGCCUAACACAUGCAAGUCGAACGAGACCUUCGGGUCUAGUGGCGCACGGGUGCGUAACGCGUGGGAACCUGCACUUAGGUUCGGAAUAACUCCCCGAAAGGGGUGCUAAUACCGGAUAAUGUCUUCGGACCAAAGAUUUAUCGCCUUUGGAUGGGCCCGCGUUGGAUUAGCUAGUUGGUAGGGUAAAAGCCUACCAAGGCGACGAUCCAUAGCUGGUCUGAGAGGAUGAUCAGCCACACUGGGACUGAGACACGGCCCAGACUCCUACGGGAGGCAGCAGUGGGGAAUAUUGGACGAUGGGCGAAGGCCUGAUCCAGCAAUGCCGCGUGAGUGAUGAAGGCCUUAGGGUUGUAAAGCUCUUUUACCCGGGAUGAUAAUGACAGUACCGGGAGAAUAAGCUCCGGCUAACUCCGUG